This 327-nucleotide ribosomal RNA is filed under the name uncultured eukaryote. RNAcentral describes it as "partial 18S ribosomal RNA". It matches the Rfam family "Eukaryotic small subunit ribosomal RNA", at positions 1470 to 1796 of the family's 1831-position model. The record is from RNAcentral.
CCCUUAGAUGUCCUGGGCCGCACGCGCGUUACACUGAUGCACUCAACGAGCAUAUAACCUUGGCCGAGAGGCCUGGGUAAUCUUGUUAACAUGCAUCGUGAUAGGGAUCGAUUAUUGCAAUUUUUAAUCGUGAACGAGGAAUUCCUAGUAAACGCAGAUCAUCAAUCUGCAUUGAUUACGUCCCUGCCCUUUGUACACACCGCCCGUCGCACCUACCGAUUGAAUGGUCCGGUGAAGACUCGGGAUUGUGGCUUGGCUCCUUUAUUGGGGCUUGGCCGCGAGAACUUGUCUGAACCUUAUCAUUUAGAGGAAGGUGAAGUCGUAACA